Molecule: unclassified non-coding RNA, 212 nt
Filed under: Hevea brasiliensis (rubber tree)
Lineage: Eukaryota; Viridiplantae; Streptophyta; Magnoliopsida; Malpighiales; Euphorbiaceae
Source: RNAcentral
GGAAGCAUGGUUCUGUAGUGGUUGGUCCAAGGUCAUUUCUGUUUGUUUGUGUAGACCAUCUCCCAUUCUCGACGGUGUCUUUAUAGUACUAUUAUGUAAGUGUCCCCUAAUCUUGGUUCCUGGUCUGCAUCUUGAUGAAGAAAAUCUGUGUCAUAUCAGGUGAAAUAUCUAGGAUAUGUCCAUAUUAUGUUUGGUGAUUUAGCUAAAAUAUC